This 1371-nucleotide ribosomal RNA is filed under the name uncultured bacterium. RNAcentral's name for it is "bacterial SSU rRNA". It matches the Rfam family "Bacterial small subunit ribosomal RNA", at positions 28 to 1381 of the family's 1533-position model. The record is from RNAcentral.
GAUGAACGCUGGCGGCGUGCCUAAUACAUGCAAGUCGAGCGAACGGACGAGAAGCUUGCUUUUCUGAUGUUAGCGGCGGACGGGUGAGUAACACGUGGAUAACCUACCUAUAAGACUGGGAUAACUUCGGGAAACCGGAGCUAAUACCGGAUAAUAUUUUGAACCGCAUGGUUCAAAAGUGAAAGACGGUCUUGCUGUCACUUAUAGAUGGAUCCGCGCUGCAUUAGCUAGUUGGUAAGGUAACGGCUUACCAAGGCAACGAUGCAUAGCCGACCUGAGAGGGUGAUCGGCCACACUGGAACUGAGACAUGGUCCAGACUCCUACGGGAGGCAGCAGUAGGGAAUCUUCCGCAAUGGGCGAAAGCCUGACGGAGCAACGCCGCGUGAGUGAUGAAGGUCUUCGGAUCGUAAAACUCUGUUAUUAGGGAAGAACAUAUGUGUAAGUAACUGUGCACAUCUUGACGGUACCUAAUCAGAAAGCCACGGCUAACUACGUGCCAGCAGCCGCGGUAAUACGUAGGUGGCAAGCGUUAUCCGGAAUUAUUGGGCGUAAAGCGCGCGUAGGCGGUUUUUUAGUCUGAUGUGAAAGCCCACGGCUCAACCGUGGAGGGUCAUUGGAAACUGGAAAACUUGAGUGCAGAAGAGGAAAGUGGAAUUCCAUGUGUAGCGGUGAAAUGCGCAGAGAUGUGGAGGAACACCAGUGGCGAAGGCGACUUUCUGGUCUGUAACUGACGCUGAUGUGCGAAAGCGUGGGGAUCAAACAGGAUUAGAUACCCUGGUAGUCCACGCCGUAAACGAUGAGUGCUAAGUGUUAGGGGGUUUCCGCCCCUUAGUGCUGCAGCUAACGCAUUAAGCACUCCGCCUGGGGAGUACGACCGCAAGGUUGAAACUCAAAGGAAUUGACGGGGGCCCGCACAAGCGGUGGAGCAUGUGGUUUAAUUCGAAGCAACGCGAAGAACCUUACCAAAUCUUGACAUCCUUUGACAACUCUAGAGAUAGAGCCUUCCCCUUCGGGGGACAAAGUGACAGGUGGUGCAUGGUUGUCGUCAGCUCGUGUCGUGAGAUGUUGGGUUAAGUCCCGCAACGAGCGCAACCCUUAAGCUUAGUUGCCAUCAUUAAGUUGGGCACUCUAAGUUGACUGCCGGUGACAAACCGGAGGAAGGUGGGGAUGACGUCAAAUCAUCAUGCCCCUUAUGAUUUGGGCUACACACGUGCUACAAUGGACAAUACAAAGGGCAGCGAAACCGCGAGGUCAAGCAAAUCCCAUAAAGUUGUUCUCAGUUCGGAUUGUAGUCUGCAACUCGACUACAUGAAGCUGGAAUCGCUAGUAAUCGUAGAUCAGCAUGCUACGGUGAAUACGUUCCCGGGUCU